AGCNAACGGAUCUCUUNGGUUCUCGCAUCGAUGAAGAACGCAGCGAAUUGCGAUAAGUAAUGUGAAUUGCAGAUUUUCAGUGAAUCAUCGAAUCUUUGAACGCACCUUGCGCUCCUUGGUAUUCCGAGGAGCAUGCCUGUUUGAGUGUCAUU
RNAcentral lists this ribosomal RNA (152 nucleotides) under uncultured Chamonixia. Its description in RNAcentral is "5.8S ribosomal RNA". It matches the Rfam family "5.8S ribosomal RNA". Rfam says of the family: 5.8S ribosomal RNA (5.8S rRNA) is a component of the large subunit of the eukaryotic ribosome. The record is from RNAcentral. Lineage: Eukaryota; Fungi; Basidiomycota; Agaricomycetes; Boletales; Boletaceae.